RNAcentral lists this ribosomal RNA (305 nucleotides) under uncultured bacterium. RNAcentral describes it as "bacterial SSU rRNA". It matches the Rfam family "Bacterial small subunit ribosomal RNA", at positions 338 to 640 of the family's 1533-position model. The record is from RNAcentral.
CCUACGGGGGGCAGCAGUGAGGAAUAUUGGUCAAUGGGCGGAAGCCUGGACCAGCCAAGUCGCGUGAGGGAAUAAGGCCCUACGGGUCGUAAACCUCUUUUGCCGGGGAGCAAGGGCCGGGACGCGUCCCGGCCCGGAGAGUACCCGGAGAAAAAGCAUCGGCUAACUCCGUGCCAGCAGCCGCGGUAAUACGGAGGAUGCGAGCGUUAUCCGGAUUUAUUGGGUUUAAAGGGUGCGUAGGCGGGCUUUUAAGUCAGCGGUAAAAAUUCGGGGCUCAACCCCGUCCGGCCGUUGAACCUGGGGGC